GUGAGUCAUCGAAUCUUUGAACGCACAUUGCGCCCCUUGGUAUUCCAUGGGGCAUGCCUGUUCGAGCGUCAUCUACACCCUCAAGCUCUGCUUGGUGUUGGGCGUCUGUCCCGCCUCCGCGCGUGGACUCGCCCCAAAUUCAUUGGCAGCGGUCUUCUUGCCCCCUCUCGCGCAGCACAUUGCGCUUCUCGAGGGCGGCGGGCCGCGUCCACGAAGCAACAUUCACCGUCUUUGACCUCGGAUCAGGUAGGGAUACCCGCUGAACUUAAGCAUAUCAAUAAGCGGAGGA
This 289-nucleotide unclassified non-coding RNA is filed under the name Paracamarosporium sp. Its description in RNAcentral is "partial contains 5.8S ribosomal RNA, internal transcribed spacer 2, and large subunit ribosomal RNA". The stretch from base 1 to 71 matches the Rfam family "5.8S ribosomal RNA", at positions 84 to 154 of the family's 154-position model. The record is from RNAcentral. Lineage: Eukaryota; Fungi; Ascomycota; Dothideomycetes; Pleosporales; Didymosphaeriaceae.